RNAcentral lists this ribosomal RNA (388 nucleotides) under uncultured bacterium. RNAcentral describes it as "bacterial SSU rRNA". It matches the Rfam family "Bacterial small subunit ribosomal RNA", at positions 28 to 419 of the family's 1533-position model. The record is from RNAcentral.
GACGAACGCUGGCGGCGUGCUUAACACAUGCAAGUCGAACGAUGAACCACUUCGGUGGGGAUUAGUGGCGAACGGGUGAGUAACACGUGGGCAAUCUGCCCUUCACUCUGGGACAAGCCCUGGAAACGGGGUCUAAUACCGGAUAACACUGCCACGGGCAUCUGUGGUGGUUAAAAGCUCCGGCGGUGAAGGAUGAGCCCGCGGCCUAUCAGCUUGUUGGUGAGGUAAUGGCUCACCAAGGCGACGACGGGUAGCCGGCCUGAGAGGGCGACCGGCCACACUGGGACUGAGACACGGCCCAGACUCCUACGGGAGGCAGCAGGUGGGGAAUAUUGCACAAUGGGCGAAAGCCUGAUGCAGCGACGCCGCGUGAGGGAUGACGGCCUGG